RNAcentral lists this long non-coding RNA (311 nucleotides) under Sorghum bicolor (sorghum). RNAcentral's name for it is "long non-coding RNA (SBIC_LNC014387)". The record is from RNAcentral. Lineage: Eukaryota; Viridiplantae; Streptophyta; Magnoliopsida; Poales; Poaceae.
UGGGGCAUCCUGGGUCUUCCUUCUUCUUUGGUGAUUUAUUGAGGAUGGCCGCACUACAUUCUUCUGUCAGCUUGAUAACCUCAGUGGUGGGCAGUGGUCUCUUCUUGUUAAGAAUAUCUCUGAUGUACUUUGCAUAUGUAGGUACCUGUAUGGCAUCGAGCAGAGGUAUGUUGAUAUAUAAUUUUUGAAUGACCUCUACAAACUUACUAAACUGCUCAUCCGACUGCAGUCCUCUGUUUCUUCUGGGAAAUGGCAAAUAGUUGGUGUCGUAAAAAUCUUUCCUCAUUUCUCCAGUUCUUGGUGGUUGUGGC